UAUACGACCGUACCGCAAACCGACACUGGUGCGCGAGAUGAGUAUUCUAAGGCGCUUGAGAGAACUCAGGAGAAGGAACUCGGCAAAUUGACACCGUAACUUCGGAAGAAGGUGUGCCCUAUUAGUGUGUAGUGAACAACGAAGCAUGAAUGGGUUGCAAAAAAUCGGUGGCUGCGACUGUUUAUUAAAAACACAGCACUCUGCAAACACGAAAGUGGACGUAUAGGGUGUGACGCCUGCCCGGUGCUGGAAGAUUAAAUGAUGGGGUGCAAGCUCUUGAUUGAAGUCCCAGUAAACGGCGGCCGUAACUAUAACGGUCCUAAGGUAGCGAAAUUCCUUGUCGGGUAAGUUCCGACCUGCACGAAUGGCGUAACGAUGGCCACACUGUCUCCUCCUGAGACUCAGCGAAGUUGAAAUGUUUGUGAUGAUGCAAUCUCCCCGCGGAAAGACGGAAAGACCCCAUGAACCUUUACUGUAGCUUUGUAUUGGACUUUGAACAGAUCUGUGUAGGAUAGGUGGGAGGCUUUGAAGCAGGGUCGCUAGAUCUUGUGGAGCCAACGUUGAAAUACCACCCUGGUGUGUUUGAGGUUCUAACCUAGGACCAUUAUCUGGAUCGGGGACAGUGCAUGGUAGGCAGUUUGACUGGGGCGGUCUCCUCCCAAAGCGUAACGGAGGAGUUCGAAGGUACGCUAGUUACGGUCGGACAUCGUGACGAUAGUGCAAUGGCAUAAGCGUGCUUAACUGCGAGACUGACAAGUCGAGCAGAUGCGAAAGCAGGACAUAGUGAUCCGGUGGUUCUGUAUGGAAGGGCCAUCGCUCAACGGAUAAAAGGUACUCUGGGGAUAACAGGCUGAUACCGCCCAAGAGUUCAUAUCGACGGCGGUGUUUGGCACCUCGAUGUCGGCUCAUCUCAUCCUGGGGCUGUAGCCGGUCCCAAGGGUAUGGCUGUUCGCCAUUUAAAGAGGUACGUGAGCUGGGUUUAAAACGUCGUGAGACAGUUUGGUCCCUAUCUUCCGUGGGCGCUGCAGAUUUGAGGAAGCCUGCUCCUAGUACGAGAGGACCGGGGUGGACACACCUCUGGUGUAUCGGUUGUCACGCCAGUGGCAUUGCCGAGUAGCUAAGUGGGGAAGAGAUAACCGCUGAAAGCAUCUAAGCGGGAAACUCGUUUCAAGAUGAGAUCUGCCGGGGCCUUGAGCCCCCUAAAGAGUCGUUCAAGACCAGGACGUUGAUAGGUCAGGUGUGGAAGC
RNAcentral lists this ribosomal RNA (1247 nucleotides) under metagenome. RNAcentral's name for it is "bacterial LSU rRNA". It matches the Rfam family "Bacterial large subunit ribosomal RNA", at positions 1635 to 2874 of the family's 2925-position model. The record is from RNAcentral.